Molecule: ribosomal RNA, 490 nt
Filed under: uncultured bacterium
Lineage: Bacteria
Description: partial 16S ribosomal RNA
Rfam family: Bacterial small subunit ribosomal RNA
Source: RNAcentral
AUUGAACGCUGGCGGCAGGCCUAACACAUGCAAGUCGAAUGGUAACAGGAAACAGCUUGCUGUUUCGCUGUCGAGUGGCGGACGGGUGAGUCAUGUCUGGGAAACUGCUUGAUGGAGGGGGAUAACUACUGGAAACGGUAGCUAUUACCGCAUAACGUCUCAAGACCAAAGAGGGGGACCUUCGGGCCUCUUGCCAUCAGAUGUGCCCAGAUGGGAUUAGCUAGUAGGUGGGGUAACGGCUCACCUAGGCGACGAUCCGUAGCUGGUCUGAGAGGGUGACCAGCCACACUGGAACUGAGACACGGUCCAGACUCCUACGGGAGGCAGCAGUGGGGAAUAUUGCACAAUGGGCGCAAGCCUGAUGCAGCCAUGCCGCGUGUAUGAAGAAGGCCUUCGGGUUGUAAAGUACUUUCAGCGGGGAGGAAGGGAGUAAAGUUAAUACCUUUACUCAUUGACGUUACCCGCAGAAGAAGCACCGGCUAACUCCGUG